GACGAACGCUGGCGGCGUGCCUAAUACAUGCAAGUAGAACGCACAGUUUAUACCGUAGCUUGCUACACCAUAGACUGUGAGUUGCGAACGGGUUAGUAACGCGUAGGUAACCUGCCUGGUAGCGGGGGAUAACUAUUGGAAACGAUAGCUAAUACCGCAUAAUAUUGAUUAUUGCAUGAUAAUUGAUUGAAAGUUGCUAUUGCAUCACUACCAGAUGGACCUGCGUUGUAUUAGCUAGUAGGUGAGGUAACGGCUCACCUAGGCGACGAUACAUAUCCGAACUGAGAGGGUGAUCUGCCAAACUGGGAAGGAGACACCUCACAGACUCAUACGGGAGGCAGCAGAAGGGAAUCAUCGGAAAUGGACGAAAGACUGACAGAGCAACGCCGCGUGAGUGAAGAAGGGAUUAGGAUCGUAAAGCUCUGUUGUAAGUGAAGAACGGGUGUGAGAGUAGAAAGUUCACAAAGUGACGGUAUCUGACCAGAAAGGGACGGCUAACUACGUG
This 505-nucleotide ribosomal RNA is filed under the name uncultured bacterium. RNAcentral's name for it is "partial 16S ribosomal RNA". It matches the Rfam family "Bacterial small subunit ribosomal RNA", at positions 28 to 507 of the family's 1533-position model. The record is from RNAcentral.